Molecule: ribosomal RNA, 607 nt
Filed under: uncultured bacterium
Lineage: Bacteria
Description: bacterial SSU rRNA
Rfam family: Bacterial small subunit ribosomal RNA
Source: RNAcentral
AGAGUUUGAUCCUGGCUCAGGAUGAACGCUAGCGGCAGGCUUAAUACAUGCAAGUCGAGGGGCAGCACAGUGUAGCAAUACAUGGGUGGCGACCGGCAAACGGGUGCGGAACACGUACACAACCUUCCUUCAAAUGGGGAAUAGCCCAGGGAAACUUGGAUUAAUACCCCGUAACAUUAUGAAGUGGCAUCACUUUGUAGUUAUAGCUCCGGCGUUUGAAGAUGGGUGUGCGGCUGAUUAGGUAGUUGGCGGGGUAACGGCCCACCAAGCCUUCGAUCAGUAACUGGUGUGAGAGCACGACCAGUCACACGGGCACUGAGACACGGGCCCGACUCCUACGGGAGGCAGCAGUAAGGAAUAUUGGGCAAUGGACGCAAGUCUGACCCAGCCAUGCCGCGUGGAGGAUGAAGGCCCUCUGGGUUGUAAACUUCUUUUCUCUGGGGCGAAAAACAGGUUUUCUAACUUGCUUGACAGUACCAGAGGAAUAAGCACCGGCUAACUCCGUGCCAGCAGCCGCGGUAAUACGGAGGGUGCAAGCGUUAUCCGGAUUCACUGGGUUUAAAGGGUGCGUAGGUGGGAAGGUAAGUCAGCGGUGAAAUCCCCGAGC